This is a long non-coding RNA of Populus nigra (black poplar), 534 nucleotides long. RefSeq lists it as uncharacterized. The record is from RefSeq and is a predicted model, not a curated record. The transcript has 2 exons. NCBI's taxonomy places the organism in Eukaryota, Viridiplantae, Streptophyta, Magnoliopsida, Malpighiales, Salicaceae.
UAUGAGGGCCAAUCUGAUUCUUUCAUGGCCCUAGUAGAUAAGGCAGCAACAGUACACUCGUCAUGUCGUCCUUGCUUUCACCUUGUUACUAUGAUUCAAGAGAAAGAAGAAACUAGCCCAGGGUUCAAGAGAUCCCCCUGCAGAUGCACAGGAGGCUUAGAGAUUGUAUAUAAUUUCCAUGUAAAAGAGAGAGGAGGGUUUGAGAUGGAAUCCAUUUUCUUGAGGUCUGGCAAAUUUAACGCUAAAUGCUUUAUACAAGAUCAUUGCAAAAAUUCUGUACAUAUACGGCUGAAGGAAGUCAUGAAGGAGGUCAGUGUGAUGUAUCUUUCAUUUCAGGAAGAGAGGUUCUAGAUAAUGUCCUUUGGGCUAAUGAGCAUGUUCACAGCAUGUAAAGGCAAUGGAUACAAAGCUUUGUCCUCAUAUUUAACUUUCAGCAUGAUAUUGAUUUUGUUUUGUAAUGAAACUGGUUUGAUUUUGUAUGUAUACUGUGUUUCAGGAAAUAUCAAUUGUGAAAGUUUUAAUUGUUUUUUUUUA